Molecule: long non-coding RNA, 223 nt
Filed under: Lathyrus oleraceus (garden pea)
Lineage: Eukaryota; Viridiplantae; Streptophyta; Magnoliopsida; Fabales; Fabaceae
Description: Pisum sativum (pea) long non-coding RNA (PSAT_LNC030390)
Source: RNAcentral
AGAAAGUCAAAGGCAGUCAUUGAGCAAUAGAUGGUGGCCAUUCUUGAGAAUUUGGAUACCACAGUCAUUAUCAAGACUUCAUAUGAGCCAUGAUAUCAUUUUGAAUCAAAAUCCCAAGUGGUAGAGGCUUGAAUUUCAUCAGAACAUUGCCAGGUCAACUGGAGGCCUAGGAAGUCAACUGCUCAGUCAACUGUGGAUUUGGAGGUGGGAAGUGAUUAGAAAU